AGUGAACGCUGGCGGUAGGCCUAACACAUGCAAGUCGAACGGCAGCACAGGAGAGCUUGCUCUCUGGGUGGCGAGUGGCGGACGGGUGAGGAAUACAUCGGAAUCUACUUUUUCGUGGGGGAUAACGUAGGGAAACUUACGCUAAUACCGCAUACGACCUACGGGUGAAAGCAGGGGAUCUUCGGACCUUGCGCGAUUGAAUGAGCCGAUGUCGGAUUAGCUAGUUGGCGGGGUAAAGGCCCACCAAGGCGACGGUCCGUAGCUGGUCUGAGAGGAUGAUCAGCCACACUGGAACUGAGACACGGUCCAGACUCCUACGGGAGGCAGCAGUGGGGAAUAUUGGACAAUGGGCGCAAGCCUGAUCCAGCCAUACCGCGUGGGUGAAGAAGGCCUUCGGGUUGUAAAGCCCUUUUGUUGGGAAAGAAAUCCAGCUGGUUAAUACCCGGUUGGGAUGACGGUACCCAAAGAAUAAGCACCGGCUAACUUCGUGCCAGCCGCCGGGUAA
Molecule: ribosomal RNA, 505 nt
Filed under: uncultured bacterium
Lineage: Bacteria
Description: partial 16S ribosomal RNA
Rfam family: Bacterial small subunit ribosomal RNA
Source: RNAcentral